AGCAGCCGCGGUAAUUCCAGCUCCAAUAGCGUAUAUUAAAGUUGUUGCAGUUAAAAAGCUCGUAGUUGAAUUUCGGGACCAAUCUGCCGGUCGUGCCUCCGGUACGCACUGGUUUUAUUGGUCUCUCCCUUCUGACGAACCAUGAUGUCAUUAAUUUGGUGUCAUGGGGAAUCAGGACUGUUACUUUGAAAAAAUUAGAGUGUUUAUAGCAGGCUCACGCUUGAAUACAUUAGCAUGGAAUAAUGAAAUAGGACGUUUGACCCUAUUUUGUUGGUUUCUAGGAUCGACGUAAUGAUUAAUAGGGAUAGUUGGGGGCAUUAGUAUUCAAUUGUCAGAGGUGAAAUUCUUGGAUUUAUUGAAGACUAACUACUGCGAAAGCAUUUGCCAAGGAUGUUUUCAUUAAUCAAGAACGAAAGUUAGGGGAUCGAAGACGAUCAGAUACCGUCGUAGUCUUAACCAUAAACUAUGCCGACUAGGGAUCGGAUGAUGUUAAUUUUUU
Molecule: ribosomal RNA, 499 nt
Filed under: uncultured Glomus
Lineage: Eukaryota; Fungi; Glomeromycota; Glomeromycetes; Glomerales; Glomeraceae
Description: SSU rRNA
Rfam family: Eukaryotic small subunit ribosomal RNA
Source: RNAcentral